AAAACUUACUAUCUGAAUAAACUUCUUAAAAUGAGUAACAAAGUAUGUUUCCUUUUUCUGUUUGCCUCUAUGUGUUUUUGUUAUCAAUUUCCUUAGUUUUGUUCUCUCUGCUCAGAGCUUUGCUCUCACUUCCAGAUUUGCACUUACACUGUCUGGCUUUCUCCUUUGCAAUCCCUGAGUUUUUGGUUGCAAUUCUGACACAACCCUUUCGGGUGGGCGGGACUUCUGAGAAGUCCUCUCCCAUAGGACAGUGGUUUCUCUUGAGUGACAGUUCAGUGACCUGGAAGUGAUGUAGCCUCCAAGACAUUUUUUUCCCACCUGGUCAACAACAUGAAUUUUGAGCCCCAAACAGGUUAUUUCUGCUGUCUGUGGUGUCUACUGAGGAUCUAAAGAACCUGUGGAACAUUAGAGACUUUGCAGCUACUGGAGCUAACCUGUGUACUGCUAACUUGCUACAGAGGAAGCAGCAGAAAGCUGAGCUAACAGGCUGUUUUGCAGUGAAACGAAUGGAUUUUAUGAUGUAACUCUGACUGAAUAAUUAUCUAAAUUGAAAACUGCUGCAUUGCAUUACAAUGGAAGUGCUACACAGCCACAUGCAUCAACUGCAGCUGUUGACAAGCAUAUGGACCUAUUGUUCGAGUCCGUGGUGGUGGAUGCUCUACCAUAUCAGGAGUCUGACUAAGUACCUGUGCCUGAACCUCUCUGUGUCUAGUUCAAAAGACCUGAAAGACCUGCUGUAAGCAGGCACAGGAUAAGAUUUUAAAAGAACCUGUAAGGUUGCCUGAUGCUGAACUUCGGGCAGCUGCGUGCUCAGUGGAACAACCGCCUGUGGGAGGAGUCGUUGUGUUGCUGUUAGGAGUUUGGGUCGGAGUCCUGGAUCUAUGGGAAUUCUUUCCUUGAAGCUCCUGAUCACACAACCAUACUGGCAGUCGGCUUACCCACUACCUUCUGCUCACCCGCUUGCUACUCAUGCUGUCAUUCUCCCAGACUUCUGGUUGUUUCUCCACCAUUCUGCUGUCUCCCGUCUGCGCUACAAUUUCAGACCGUAAGUACCUAAACUUUUCCUUUUGUAAGUCAUUCUUUAGUCAUUACUAACACUCAAUUUUACCUCAGGGCCUUCUGAUCUUUAAACACUAAAACCUGUGGCUCCAUCUCUGUGGCGUUUCUCAGACUCUGUAAGCUACCUGCACAGUCUAAGAAAACCCUGACCUGUUGCCUCUUACUAACCUCUGCUCUUCCUCGCAGAAGCUUCUGGUUCCUGAUCUCCAGCAGUUACCUCUUCAGUCAUUCAUCAAUUUUAAUAAACUGUUUUUAGCUCA
Nothobranchius furzeri (turquoise killifish) is the source of this 1319-nucleotide non-coding RNA. The record is from RefSeq and is a predicted model, not a curated record. Lineage: Eukaryota; Metazoa; Chordata; Actinopteri; Cyprinodontiformes; Nothobranchiidae.